This 295-nucleotide ribosomal RNA is filed under the name uncultured bacterium. RNAcentral describes it as "partial 16S ribosomal RNA". It matches the Rfam family "Bacterial small subunit ribosomal RNA", at positions 214 to 507 of the family's 1533-position model. The record is from RNAcentral.
ACCGCCUUGGGAUAGGCUUGCGUCUGAUUAGCUAGUUGGUGUGGUAACGGCACACCAAGGCUACGAUCAGUAACUGGUCUGAGAGGAUGAUCAGUCACACUGGAACUGAGACACGGUCCAGACUCCUACGGGAGGCAGCAGUGAGGAAUAUUGGGCAAUGCACGAAAGUGUGACCCAGCAACGCCGCGUGGAGGAUGAAGGUAUUCUAUAUCGUAAACUCCUGUGAGAGCAGACGAAAGACAGAUUAUUAAUUUGGAUGACUGUAUGCUCAGAGGAAGCCCCGGCUAACUACGUG